Molecule: long non-coding RNA, 155 nt
Organism: Rhagoletis zephyria (snowberry fruit fly)
Lineage: Eukaryota; Metazoa; Arthropoda; Insecta; Diptera; Tephritidae
Source: RefSeq, a predicted model, not a curated record
UUUAGGAAAACAAAAUUAUCGAAAGCUAUGACAGUGUUACCGUUGUGCGACUAAAGUGUCAAAUUGACACUUUUUGGAGAUCGAUGCCCCCUGACACCGACUUUUUAAAAAUAGGCUUAUUUUGAAACUUUUCCAAAAAAUCAUGCGACUUUUCU